Molecule: ribosomal RNA, 468 nt
Filed under: uncultured bacterium
Lineage: Bacteria
Description: partial 16S ribosomal RNA
Rfam family: Bacterial small subunit ribosomal RNA
Source: RNAcentral
GACGAACGCUGGCGGCGUGCUUAACACAUGCAAGUCGAACGGACAGGCCCUGCUUUUGUGGGGUGCUCGAGUGGCGAACGGGUGAGUAACACGUGAGUAACCUGCCCUUGACUUUGGGAUAACUUCAUGAAACUGGGGCUCAUACCGGAUAGGAGCUCCUGCUGCAUGGUGGGGGUUGGAAAGUUUCGGCGGUUGGGGAUGGACUCGCGGCUUAUCAGCUUGUUGGUGGGGUAGUGGCUUACCAAGGCUUUGACGGGUAGCCGGCCUGGGAGGGUUACCGGCCACAUUGCGACUGAGAUACGGCACAGACUCGUACGGGAGGCAGCAGUGGGGAGGAUUGCACAAUGGGCGGAAGCCAGAUGCAGCAACGCCGCGUGCGGGAUGACGGCCUUCGGGUUGUAAACCGCUGUCGCCUGUGACGAAGCGUGAGUGACGGUAAUGGGUAAAGAAGCACCGGCUAACUACGUG